RNAcentral lists this ribosomal RNA (495 nucleotides) under uncultured bacterium. Its description in RNAcentral is "partial 16S ribosomal RNA". It matches the Rfam family "Bacterial small subunit ribosomal RNA", at positions 30 to 507 of the family's 1533-position model. The record is from RNAcentral.
UGAACGCUGGCGGCGUGCCUAAUACAUGCAAGUCGAGCGAACAGACGAGGAGCUUGCUCCUCUGACGUUAGCGGCGGACGGGUGAGUAACACGUGGAUAACCUACCUAUAAGACUGGGAUAACUUCGGGAAACCGGAGCUAAUACCGGAUAAUAUAUUGAACCGCAUGGUUCAAUAGUGAAAGACGGUUUUGCUGUCACUUAUAGAUGGAUCCGCGCCGCAUUAGCUAGUUGGUAAGGUAACGGCUUACCAAGGCAACGAUGCGUAGCCGACCUGAGAGGGUGAUCGGCCACACUGGAACUGAGACACGGUCCAGACUCCUACGGGAGGCAGCAGUAGGGAAUCUUCCGCAAUGGGCGAAAGCCUGACGGAGCAACGCCGCGUGAGUGAUGAAGGUCUUCGGAUCGUAAAACUCUGUUAUUAGGGAAGAACAAAUGUGUAAGUAACUAUGCACGUCUUGACGGUACCUAAUCAGAAAGCCACGGCUAACUGCGUG